AAGAAAUGUUUUGGGAAAUUUGGACCUGUAUAGUCACUGCAGUAAACAUCUAGCACCCAAUCUGCUGCUAUAAUUUCUAAAUUACCAAAAUAAACUGUACACAUCUGAAAAGUAGUGAUC
Long non-coding RNA from Thalassophryne amazonica, 120 nucleotides. RefSeq lists it as uncharacterized. The transcript is spliced from 3 exons. The record is from RefSeq and is a predicted model, not a curated record. Lineage: Eukaryota; Metazoa; Chordata; Actinopteri; Batrachoidiformes; Batrachoididae.